AUGGAUGAACUUUGUGUUGGAUUAAUGUCUAAGUCCAUAACUAUAUUUCGUAUGUACUUGACCCGACCCGGCAUGGUCCAUUUGGGUUGCACUUCACCGACACAAUUUAUAUGGAUAAUCUUUUGAGAAUAGUAUGUUUAUGAUUAAUAUUAAUAUAUUAUAAGUUCUAAUAUAUUAAUAUGGAAUCAUAUUAUUUAAUUAGUAUUGAUCAAGAAUUAAUUUAUAAUUAAUUAAGUGAUCAAAAGGAACUAAUUAAAUAUGGACUCUUAUAUAUAUGGAAUGGGCCAAGUUCAUUUAGGUUGGGCUAAGCUUUCAUGGAUAGUCCAUGGAGUGUUUAACCCAUGGAUCCUAGGAAAUGAAAGGUCAUGGGUAUUAGGGUUUAACCCUAAUCCUCCAUACUAUAUAAAGAUGUCUUUGGUUGGUGAAAUUGGCACUAGUGUGGAUACACUAAAGAAGGGCUAGCCAAUUUCACUAGAGAGAACCAAGUAAUCAUAUUCUCUAAAGUAUUCCAAGGUGUCUUGGUGAUUUGUGAUUCCACUUGAGGCUUCCACACUAUUGGGGCUAAGCUCUUAAAGCUUGAAGACAUCAAGCUACAUCAAGAGGUAUGUAUUCUAUCUUGUUACAUUCAUAGUUUUUGUAUGCUAGAUUAGGAUAAUACCUUGGAUGUUCUUAUUUGCAUGUAUAAUAGAGAAAACAUAGAUCCAAGGUAUUUAGGGUUGCAUGUACACUUAGGAAGUGUUAGAAUGCUCAAAACCCAACAGUGGUAUCAGAGCCACGGGUUGUUUUCUGUUAUAUUGAUGCAAAUAUUUUAUUUUCAAAGUUGAAAAAAAAAAAAAAAAAAAACAUGAAGUUUGUCAAAUUUUAAGAUAAUUACUUGUUCUUGUGAAAAACUAAUUAUUUGUAAAAUUUGAAUAAUUUGCUUUAUGAGUUGAAUUAGGUCAAAUUUAAUAAAAGAUAAAAUAAUAUGAUUAUUUUAUUAGUUUUAAAAGUUUGAUCUAAAGAGUUUUAUUUUUUGAAACCUCCAUAAGUUAUGGAUAUGAAAAGGUUUUAAAAAAAAAAUUGAUUCAAAGUUUUUUUGGAGUUACAAAAUUUGGUGUUAAUGUUUUAAAGGAUUCCAUAACUUAAGAAUAAGUUAUGGAUCACCAAAAGUUUUUUGUGUUACCUUGUUUUAUGAGUGAAUUUAGAUUAAUGAAUAAAAUUAUGUGAUAGUUGGUUUUAAUCCAAAUUAAUCUAAGAAUUGAUUCUAAAAUGUGUUUUUGUAACUUGUCCUCAAGUUAUAUGAAAAGUCACAUUUAAGAAUCAUAAAACUCAUAAAAAUUGGCAAAGGUUACAAAAAUGAAGAGUCUAGUUCUAAUUAAAUGGUUUUAUGACUCCAUAACUUGUCCUCAAGUUAUGGAGGACCAAGAGUCUCUUCAUUUAAUAAAAUAAAAUAAAAAAAAAAAAAGUGUAACCUUAAUUAAUUCCAUAAGUUAUAAAAUAAAGAAAAGUUAAUUCUUUUAUUAGUUUAAAGUCUUCCAUAACUUGUCCUCAAGUUAUGGAACUUGAAGAGUUUUUGGAUUAAAACUACUUUAAACACAUAAGUUAUGGAAUUAAUUAGUUUUGAAUAGUUUCAAAACUUGCCCUCAAGUUUUGGAAUUUGUAAAGUUUUCACUUAUGAAUACUUUAAUUCCAAGUUAGCCCUUAGAAUUUUAAAAGUUAAAAUUCAACCCUUAUACUUUAUAAUAUUAUAAGUUAAUAAUAUAUAUAUGUAUAAGAGUAAAGUCAGUCUUACCGCUAGUACGCCUCAUUCACGAAGCCGGUCUAUAAGGUGGGUAUAAGGUUGUUGCCUAUAAAAUGGCAACUUAAUGGGUGUCCACUCUCACCCACCGCUUGCUUGACUGGUGGAGGGUCGUUAGCCGAACGGGUUUGACAGGACUAGAAUUCUCCCUUCAUUAAAAGUAUUAAUGAUAAUACUAAGUAACUAAACUCUUAAUAAUACCCAAUCUUAGUUACUUAGGAAAAAUGUGAAUAAGGUGCUAAUCCAUGAAAUUACACUUUACACUUUGUCUAAGUCGUUAGUGGAGCGUGUGUGGUUAACCGGCACACUAACUUGGACUUAACAAGGUAGGUAAAGGGUGACUUAAUAUUUAUCAUAGUAUCGAUGGAGCGUGUGUGGUUAACCGGCACAUCGAUUGAGGGGUAAUUUAUUAAGGGUACCAAGUGAUUUGCAUGGUUACUUCACACCUUGUUUUGUGAUCCUCGGCAUCCCAGUCACAAAACCUGAAGGGCACACUCGAGAUUGAAACAUGCCUUUGAACAGUUCAAUGAAUCUCAAAGAUCUAGGAGUUUCAAAACCAAUUAAAACCUAAUAAUACAUUUCGUUUAUCUUGGUGGAAAUUGGUGAAUCGUCAUUCACCUACCUUCAAAUAUUUUAUAGCUUGGAUUACGGCAUACCUCUUCUAAGUUAUAAAAUAGUUUGUUGGGUCCUAGCCUUAAUAUUUCAUAUUGGGUGUCAUAUUAAGGACUUUAAAUCAACUAUCUUGAAUAUCUCCCAAAAGAUGUCUGGUUUAGACACCUAUGAUCUUCCCAAAUCUCUUGAAACAAGGUUUCCUAAUGAAGAUGAUGUCCCAUGGAUAUCAUACUUCUUUCUCCUCCUCCAAUUAUUCUCCCUAACCCACAAGUUCUUGAAAAGUUUAAGGUCACUCAAGCCCUAUUGGCAAGGCAAGGUCUAGGUGUGAUCACAUCUUGGAGAUGUAGUCACAUAUUGACAAGCCGGGAGAGUUGGGUGUCAAAGUCUUGAGAAAGUUGGUGGUUCAAUCACUUUCUAAGUCACAUAGUGAGUUCCUUUGGGACACCUAUGAAACAGACUAUGACAAGACCCUUAAUGAUCUUAUCUAUUUGCUAAGAUCAACUUCCUAAAACUUUAUGGACAUUGACAAUGAUGACAUUGGAUAUCCAGUAAAGCAUUCUCUUCCCAAUGGAAAGGGAUCGGCCAUAGUCAACUCGGUUGACCAAAUGGUAAAGAGAAAAGCUAAGUCUGUGAUAGUCUCGUGUACCAUUAUCAAAGGGUCCAUAUGUUUAUAUUGCCAAAGGAAGGGGCAUUGGUUGCGAAGCUGCCAAAUUUACCUAAGGAUGUUAAAGUCAAUAAGUUUGACUCUACUUCAGGUAAAGUCCACUAUCUAACUCUGUUAAGUUUCUAUUCUGAGAUUCCUGAUACAUGAUGUGACUGGGUCACAUGGUGAUGUUUUAAGAAUCAAAGAAAAGUGAAGAAACUUAAAGAAAGAAUAUGCUGAAUCUGAUGGCGUAGAUGGAUUUCUAUCGCAUAGUUUGAAGAUCGGAUUCUUGAGCAACUUCUUAGGAGUUAUGAGAUAUUGCUUAGGAAUAGAUAACAACAAGUUUUCAUAUGGAUUGUAAGGAUAAGUUUUUCCGCAAAGUUUUAAAAUAAAAGAAAAUUUUUUUGAUUUUAUUUAUUUUAAAAUAUCCUUACAAUGGCUUUUGAGGAAAAAUUGUUGCUUAUAUGAUUCCAUUAAGAGCAAGAGUGGAAAUAUGAAAUUGAUUCUUUCAUUUGUGGUAAUGUCUAGAUUUACCAAAUAAGGAAAGAUUCUCAUCACCCAAGUUUCAAUUGGACCGGAACUUGGAAUCAUGCAAGUUGUAUAGCAUGAUGAAUGAGAACUUUCAAGUUUUGGAAAAUUAAGACUAAUUACUCGGCCACAUGGAUGUGUGAGUCAAGUAAAGGACUAAGGGAUCGAGUACACAUUCUUGUGCACUGAUUAAGUCCACCACAAAAGAUUGAUAAGACUAUUCGUCAUAGUUUACUAAAGCUCAGUAAAUAUGAUUAUACUUACAAGCUUAAGUGUAACUCUGAGACAUUGGAAAAGGUUCCAAUGUAUGGCAGGGCGAAUAAGAAGAAUCAAAUUAGGCAGAAGGAUAAAAGUUUCUCAAAUCUGAAAAGAUGGGAGAGUACUUUAGUAUCAGUUUUGUGAUCAUCUUAAUGAUUAAGAAACCAUAUCAAAAUUAGUUCUCUAAGGAAAUCUUAGUGCAUUCUUAUGACUAAGAAGAGGAACUUGAAUUGUUGAAAUGGUUAAAUCAAGAAGAUGAGUCAUACUUCGUUCCAAUACAAGUCUUAGAGUCAUACUCCAAGAUUGUCAUUUGAGUGACAUGUCUUAAAGAAGGUUUAAAACACUUGUCAAAUGUAAGAGUAAAAGUUUUCUACUCUUGUACAUUUGAAAUUGGUAAGUUGUGAUGUUUUGGAUAAAACAAAGACCAACUUAGGCCAAUUGGGUAAAGUGUUUUUCUUGAUUAGAAUCCGCACUAUCUCUUGGAUGUUUGACAAGGGAGUCUUAUAUGUCAAGAGGACAGUGGGAGUCUUAAAGGUCUUGAAAGUCUCAAGAACUAAUCAAGAAUAAAACCUGAAGUUCUUCACUAGCACACGACUUGAGGUUUAUAACCUAUCGUGUUGACAUAUCUGUGCCCAUUCCAGUUAAAGUUGGCUUUGCAUAUGAGUUCUUAGAGUUCUCAAUUUGUUGCACAACAACUUGGAAGCAAUGGCAGGCCCUUGAGCUGCCAGGUGGCAAGAAAUUAAGAUUGAGUUCAGUCCAUAUGAGUUUGGAUUUGUCAUUAUCCUUGUCUUGUGACUAUGGUUUUGACAAUUCACAUGGAUAAGAACACAUACACCAUUAAAUCUAAGUGUCAUAAGGUUUCUCUCCGAUUCAUGAAAAUGAUGGUGAGGAAACACUUUCACUAAGUAGAUUUUAGCUAGAUAGCAAUUGUGAUAUUUGCAUUCUCAAAGUCGUUAGUGGAGCGCGUGUGGUUAACCGGCACACUAAUUUGGACUUGUGAGAAGUGGCAAAAAGGUCUAAACAUUAUGAUUACGGCAUCCCUCUUCAUAAUUGUUUAGAUACACAAGUGUGCUAUCUAAGGGAAGGUGUAUGAUUUUGAUAAAGUUUUAUCAAAACAAUCUAGCAUCAGAAAUCUGAACUUUGGUAAGAAAGUCAAUGAAGUAUUGAUUUCUAGAAGUCCAGCUGAUUUCUGAGUACAUGUCAAAGCUAGUGGGAGCAUAAGUGUUAUGCUAAUAAUCAUCAUGUUAGUGGGAGCAUGAUAAUUAUGAUAAGUAUUGCAAGUUAGCAAUGUUAAUUAUAGAAAACAAAAGUUUCAAUUGGGAAAAAGUUGUUUUGCUAUAAUUAAGGGAGAGGAAAUUAUACUUCAUCUCAAAUCUAUAAGCUUAGAUCGUGAGGUUUUAAUCAUUUAGUCAAGGAUAUAUAUGAAUUUCAUGUUGGAAUGGCUCAACAUAAGGAAAUUCUGUAUAUGGGUCCAUUAUUUGCGUUCUAAAAUUCGAUUAUGAUUACGGCAUCCCUUUUCAUAAUCUGAAUUAUGAGAACUUGGCAAAUUGAAAUGGAAAUAUUAUAGCAAAAGACUGGUUUAGUCUUUAUGUAAGACAUCAUGAAUCGUGUCCCAUAUGCUUCGGAUAUAGGAUCGAUUACAUGUGCUAUAUUCAUCCGUUCUAAAAUUUUCCAAAUGCCUGGGGCAUUAAGAAGGGAAAAGGUUUAGAACUGGAUAUGACUAAAAGGAUUAAACAAUUGUCGAGGACAAUCUAAGGUUUACCAAAGAUUGGUUGCUCAAGGACAGUUGGAAGUAUAGUGAUAAUUCUGGAAGGACCAUAUUGACAUAAUCUGUAAGGAGGCAACUCUUGUUCAGAAGUGAUAGUCAAAAUGGAAUCUGGAAAUGUUUCAAAGUUAGAAUUUUCAAUCUGUUUAAGAUUAGGAAACUUAAUGCAAGAAGGAUGUUUCCAAGGAGCUGAUCUCCUUUGGAAUACUCUGUAAUGAUUGUUGUCAAGUCUUUCUGACUUUGUGCAUAAUCAUUACAAGAGGAUCAAUGCAUAUAAGUUUAGAAUCUAACAGAUUUCAGUAAAUGGCAUGAAUUUGGAAUUCUUGCAUUUGCAGUAAGGAUUUGGGAGUGUGAAAAGAGAAUCAUUGAAGUUAUGUUCAAUUGAUCUAGUUCACAAAGUAAAGAUCAUAGACAAACAUAGUAUGCAUACUUGGUGUGUGGCAUGACUAGUGUUUAAGAAAACAUAGUGUACAUGCUUGGAGCAUGGGACAACUAUUGUUUUAAAUUCAAGAAUAAAGUUGAUAGCUGAAACAGUAUACAAUGAAUAAUGUGUAAUCAUAUGGUGAUAAAUAAAAGGUGUUUUAUUUAUGUUCAAAGAUUUGAUACCAUAUUGGAUUCAAUUAUUAUUGUGUUUCACUUUGCAUGUUUUGACUUCCCGAAUAAACUAGGUUAUUCUUCCGGAAUGACUAAGUUAUUCAAACCAUCCACAGUCGGUCAUAUGUUGGAAGUAGAUAUGAAUUAAGACUGUCAUGGGUUGGCUUGUAGAGGUCUAAGGUGUUGGACAAAGGGCUACAACACUCAUGAGUGCUCAUAAGUUCUGAGUAUUGGAUUCAACCCGCGCUCAUUGGAAUCACUUCAUGGAUUUUAUCACGAGUGAUCAUGAGACGAUAAUAUCUUAUAUUCUUCAAACCUAGAGAUAUGAGUUGUUACUAUGAGUUGGUUGUACAUUGAUUGCACGAAAACGCAUUUGGUAACUCGGUGCUAUAAAACGUGCCUUUGUGUAUGAUUCAACAAGUAGUAGAACAAGCCAUAUGAGUCGAAGUUUAUCCAUUCCUUUUACCUUCGGGAUAAAAGCGAUAUCUGUGGGCCCCUCGAUGAUUUGAUGAUGACAAAUGGAAGUGCUCGGCCGGGCCAGGACUGAUUUGAUUUGUUCAAUUAGUCAGUCGUCAUAAAUCGGAAAUCGGGAAACAACAAAUGGACAGAGAGAAUGAUUAUAAUCCAUGUCUCAGUCCAUAUGAUAUCUAGAAUGGAGGAAUAUAUGAUCCCUUAUCUAAUGGACAAGUUCGUUGACAAGAUCAGAGUUCGACAGCAGCUUUAAGAGCUACGAUUGCCAGUUAGGUUUGAAGUCAUACGCAAUAAUAGUUUUAGACUUAUCCAAGUGGGAGACUGUUGGAUUAAUGUCUAAGUCCAUAACUAUAUUUGGUAUGUACUUGACCCGACCCGGCAUGGUCCAUUUGGGUUGCACUUCACCGACACAAUUUAUAUGGAUAAUCUUUUGAGAAUAGUAUGUUUAUGAUUAAUAUUAAUAUAUUAUAAGUUCUAAUAUAUUAAUAUGGAAUCAUAUUAUUUAAUUAGUAUUGAUCAAGAAUUAAUUUAUAAUUAAUUAAGUGAUCAAAAGGAACUAAUUAAAUAUGGACUCUUAUAUAUAUGGAAUGGGCCAAGUUCAUUUAGGUUGGGCUAAGCUUUCAUGGAUAUUCCAUGGAGUGUUUAACCCAUGGAUCCUAGGAAAUGAAAGGUCAUGGGUAUUAGGGUUUAACCCUAAUCCUCCAUACUAUAUAAAGAUGUCCUUGGUUGGUGAAAUAGGACUAGUGUGUGGAUACACUAUGAGGGCUAGCCGAUUUCACUAAGAGAGAACCAAGUAUUCAUAUUCUCUAAAGUCUUCCAAGGUGUCUUGGUGAUUUGUGAUUCCACUUGAGGCUUCCACACUAUUGGGGCUAAGCUCUUAAAGCUUGAAGACAUCAAGCUACAUUAAAAAGGUAUGUCAUCUAACUAGUACUUUGUAGUAUAAGAACUUCAUAAUAUGCUUGUUAGGAUUAAAGCCUUGGAAAGUUCUUAUUUGCAUGUAUUAUAGAGAAAACAUAGAUCCAAGGUUUAUAGGGUUG
RNAcentral lists this long non-coding RNA (7685 nucleotides) under Lactuca sativa (garden lettuce). Its description in RNAcentral is "long non-coding RNA (LSAT_LNC002653)". Lineage: Eukaryota; Viridiplantae; Streptophyta; Magnoliopsida; Asterales; Asteraceae. The record is from RNAcentral.